RNAcentral lists this ribosomal RNA (503 nucleotides) under uncultured bacterium. RNAcentral describes it as "partial 16S ribosomal RNA". It matches the Rfam family "Bacterial small subunit ribosomal RNA", at positions 30 to 523 of the family's 1533-position model. The record is from RNAcentral.
AUUGAACGCUGGCGGCAGGCUUAACACAUGCAAGUCGAGCGGGGGAAGGUAGCUUGCUACCGGACCUAGCGGCGGACGGGUGAGUAAUGCUUAGGAAUCUGCCUAUUAGUGGGGGACAACAUCUCGAAAGGGAUGCUAAUACCGCAUACGUCCUACGGGAGAAAGCAGGGGAUCACUUGUGACCUUGCGCUAAUAGAUGAGCCUAAGUCGGAUUAGCUAGUUGGUGGGGUAAAGGCCUACCAAGGCGACGAUCUGUAGCGGGUCUGAGAGGAUGAGCCGCCACACUGGGACUGAGACACGGCCCAGACUCCUACGGGAGGCAGCAGUGGGGAAUAUUGGACAAUGGGGGGAACCCUGAUCCAGCCAUGCCGCGUGUGUGAAGAAGGCCUUAUGGUUGUAAAGCACUUUAAGCGAGGAGGAGGCUACUCUAGUUAAUACCUAGGGAUAGUGGACGUUACUCGCAGAAUAAGCACCGGCUAACUCUGUGCCAGCCGCCGCAGUAA